Non-coding RNA from Phrynosoma platyrhinos (Desert horned lizard), 72 nucleotides. NCBI's taxonomy places the organism in Eukaryota, Metazoa, Chordata, Lepidosauria, Squamata, Phrynosomatidae. The record is from the annotation of a GenBank genome assembly.
GCCAGUGUAGCAUAGUGGUUCAAGUGUUGGAGUAUAACUCUGGAGACCAGGGUUCAAUUCCCAGCUUGGUUA